AGGUGGUAAAUUCCAUCUAAAGCUAAAUAUUGGYGCGAGACCGAUAGCGAACAAGUACCGUGAGGGAAAGAUGAAAAGAACUUUGAAAAGAGAGUUAAAGAGUACCUGAAACUGUUGAAAGGGAACCGUAUCGUUUCUAGUGUUUAUCCUAUGCAUAUUUCAUUGGCGGUUGCAAAAUUGCUGGUGCCCUGUGCAUGGGUGUGACGUCAGGGUCAGUUUAAAUUGCGGGAGAUGAGUAGAGAGGAGGUGCGUCACUUUUGUGAAAGUUACAGCUCUUUACUUAGUAGCCGUGGUUAAGACUGAGGUGCCUACAACAUGCUCUGGGGUCUGAUGUUAUCUCGUUUUAUUGAUUGCCUGGAUAGCUUGCUAUGCUGGUGAUUACUGAGGCGAUUGGUGAUGUUAGUAACCUCUGCUGUUCGGGACUCUGGCGAAAUGGAGCGAUACGACCCGUCUUGAAACACGGMCCAAGGASUCUAACAUGUGUGCAAGUAUUAGGGUGUGGAAACCCAAAUGCGCAAUGAAAGUAAAGGGCACAUUAGUGUCUGAGGUAGGAAGGAGCUGUAAUGGUUCUGGCACUAUCGACCGAUCAUGAACCUCCGGGUGAAAGAUUUGAGUAUGAGCAUAUAUGUUGGUACCCGAAAGAUGGUGAACUAUGCCUGAAUAGGGUGAAGCCAGGGGAAACUCUGGUGGAAGCUCGUAGCGAUUCUGACGUGCAAAUCGAUCGUCAAAUUUGGGUAUAGGGGCGAAAGACUAAU
RNAcentral lists this ribosomal RNA (755 nucleotides) under Phragmosporangium uniseriatum. RNAcentral's name for it is "partial large subunit ribosomal RNA". The record is from RNAcentral. Lineage: Eukaryota; Oomycota; Saprolegniomycetes; Saprolegniales; Verrucalvaceae.